AACGGCCAAUAUGCAGUCUGAGGUAACUUUCUAAGGGAGCAGUCCUGCUUUGCAGAGGAACAUGAGUCUCAACAUUUCCCGGGCUCCAGCGAUCUAGUGACCGGCCCCAGUGCUAAAACCAGUUGAGAGGACUUGGACUGCCUGUUCCUGGUCUCCUGCAUCACUCACUGGGCACGUGCUUGGCCCCUACUGUGUAGGCUGUGUGCUCUGCAUGGAUCGGUUACUCAGUGAUGGUUAG
Molecule: long non-coding RNA, 238 nt
Organism: Pseudophryne corroboree (corroboree frog)
Lineage: Eukaryota; Metazoa; Chordata; Amphibia; Anura; Myobatrachidae
Exons: 2
Source: RefSeq, a predicted model, not a curated record